This 77-nucleotide transfer RNA is filed under the name Pararhodospirillum photometricum DSM 122. Its description in RNAcentral is "tRNA-Met (CAT) (tRNA-Met-CAT-1-1, tRNA-Met-CAT-1-2)". It matches the Rfam family "tRNA". From Rfam's summary of the family: Transfer RNA (tRNA) molecules are approximately 80 nucleotides in length. Their secondary structure includes four short double-helical elements and three loops (D, anti-codon, and T loops). Further hydrogen bonds mediate the characteristic L-shaped molecular structure. tRNAs have two regions of fundamental functional importance: the anti-codon, which is responsible for specific mRNA codon recognition, and the 3' end, to which the tRNAs corresponding amino acid is attached (by aminoacyl-tRNA synthetases). tRNAs cope with the degeneracy of the genetic code in two manners: having more than one tRNA (with a specific anti-codon) for a particular amino acid; and 'wobble' base-pairing, i.e. permitting non-standard base-pairing at the 3rd anti-codon position. The record is from RNAcentral. Lineage: Bacteria; Pseudomonadati; Pseudomonadota; Alphaproteobacteria; Rhodospirillales; Rhodospirillaceae.
GGCGGAGUAGCUCAGCAGGUUAGAGCAGCGGAAUCAUAAUCCGCGUGUCGGGGGUUCGAAUCCCUCCUCCGCUACCA